This 253-nucleotide ribosomal RNA is filed under the name uncultured bacterium. RNAcentral describes it as "partial 16S ribosomal RNA". It matches the Rfam family "Bacterial small subunit ribosomal RNA", at positions 524 to 776 of the family's 1533-position model. The record is from RNAcentral.
UACGAAGGGGGCUAGCGUUGUUCGGAAUUACUGGGCGUAAAGGGCGCGUAGGCGGUGCUUCAAGUCAGGCGUGAAAGCCCCGGGCUCAACCUGGGAACCGCGCUUGAGACUGGAGAACUAGAGUUCGGGAGAGGAUGGUGGAAUUCCCAGUGUAGAGGUGAAAUUCGUAGAUAUUGGGAAGAACACCGAUGGCGAAGGCAGCCAUCUGGACCGACACUGACGCUGAGGCGCGAAAGCGUGGGGAGCAAACAGG